AUGCCGACGGUAAAUAUCGUGGAGGUCGGCCACGUGAUCGUGCCACCGCCGGAGGACUUGGUACUCAGGCUAUCCGCGCUGGACGCGCCGUGGGUCGCGAUCCCGCUAAUCCAGCGCGUGCUCCUCUUCGUCGAUGACGCCGGCGGCCAGCAGCACCCGCCCUUCGAGUCGCUCGUGGGGUCCCUCCGUGCGUCCCUCGCGGCCACGCUCGCGCGGCUCCCCCCGCUCGCCGGGAGGGUCGUCUUCCUGCCGUCCACCGGCGACGCCGCCAUCGACUGCUCCGGCCGCGAGGGAGGCGGCGGCGUGCGGUUCGUCGUGGCGGAGAGCGACGACGCGGACGCGCGGCGGCUCGCGGGGGACGCGGACCACGACGUAGACGCGUUCGAGGCGCUCGUCCCGGAGCUCAAGGUGGAGGCGCUCCCCGCGGAGGUGCUGGCCGUGCAGGUCACGCGGCUGAAGGGCGGGGUGGCGGUCGGCGUGGCACUGCACCACGCCGUGGUCGACGGCCGGUCGAUGUGGAUGUUCCUGGAGGCGUGGGCCGCGGCCUGCCGCGGCGACGCUGCUGCCGUGGCUGACAUGACGUUCGACCGCGCGGUGGUGGCCCUCCCCGGCGGCGGCGGGGACCUCGCCAGGAGCAUGCUGCGCAAGUACGCGCCCAAUCUGCCGCUGGAAGCCAACCUGUUCCCAAGCACCCUAAUCAAACUCCCUCGUCGGACAUUCACCGUCACCGCGAAGCAAAUCCACCACCUGAAGCAAUGCAUGUCUGGCCACACGACCUCCGGGAAGGCCGCCACCACGCCUAUGUCAUCCAGCUUCGUAGCCAUCGCGGCGGUCGCCUGGGCAUCAUUCGUCCGGUCCAAGCACCCAUCCGUCAUCUCCACCAACCAUGACGUCUAUCUCUUCUUCUUCAUCGACUGUCGCGGGCGGCCUAGCAUUGACCCGCCCGUGAGCGAGAACUACUUCGGGACAUGCAUCACCGGGUGUCUUGUAAGGGCCAUGGCACAUGACCUCCUUGCUGUUGACGGUGUCGCAGCCGCCUCGGUGGCGAUUCAGCGGGAGGUCCGGCGAGCAGCGGAGGACCCGCUCGCCCUUUGGGACUGGCUGGACAUUGUAUCGUGGGUGCCACUCGACAAGAUGGUGAGCAUCAACGGGUCCACGCGGUUCAAGGCGUACGAGGUGGCCAACUUCGGGUGGGGCGCGCCGAGCAGGACGGAGUUGGUCACCAUGAGCGACGGGCGGGUAGUGCUUGUCGCCGCCAAGAACGGCGCAGUUCAAGCGUCCGUGUGCAUGCACCUGGAUCAUGGCAGCGCGUUCAGCUCGCACUUCCUUAGUUCUCUUGUUGAUUCAUGUGUAUGCAGUACGAUUUUCGAUGCAAAUUAA
This 1380-nucleotide ribosomal RNA is filed under the name Triticum aestivum (bread wheat). Its description in RNAcentral is "partial small subunit ribosomal RNA". The record is from RNAcentral. Lineage: Eukaryota; Viridiplantae; Streptophyta; Magnoliopsida; Poales; Poaceae.